This 942-nucleotide non-coding RNA is filed under the name Cynoglossus puncticeps (speckled tonguesole). RNAcentral's name for it is "12S ribosomal RNA". It matches the Rfam family "Bacterial small subunit ribosomal RNA". The record is from RNAcentral. Lineage: Eukaryota; Metazoa; Chordata; Actinopteri; Pleuronectiformes; Cynoglossidae.
CAAAGGUUUGGUCCUGACUUUCCCAUCUGCUUUAGAUAUAUUUAUACAUGCAAGUAUCUGCCCCCCUGUGAAAAUGCCCCUCCCUCCCUGAAGGAGUUAGGGAGCUGGUAUCAGGCACACUCCAAGUAGCCCAUAACACCUUGCUAAGCCACACCCCCAAGGGUAUUCAGCAGUGAUUAAUAUUAAGCAAUAAGUGUAAACUUGACUUAGUAAUGACUAAUAAAGGCCGGUAAAAUUCGUGCCAGCAACCGCGGUUAUACGAAAGGCCUAAGUUGAUGAACUACGGCGUAAAGAGUGGUUAGGGUGACAUAUUACUAAAGUUAAACCUCCUCUCAGCCGUUUCAAGCUUAUGAGGAUGAGAGAUACGUCCACGAAAGUGACUUUACAAACCUGAUUCCACGAAAGCUAGGAUACAAACUGGGAUUAGAUACCCCACUAUGCCUAGUCGUAAACAAUGAUAUAAUAACAUCAAAAUAUCCGCCCGGGUAUUACAAACACUAGUUUAAAACCCAAAGGACCUGGCGGUGCUUAAAACCCAUCUAGAGGAGCCUGUCCUAUAACCGAUAACCCUCGUUUAACCUCACCCCCUUUCGCAACCCCCGCCUAUAUACCGCCGUCGUCAGCUAACCCUCUUAAGGAAUAAAAGUGAGCAAGAUUGGUUUAACCCCAAACGUCAGGUCGAGGUGUAGUAUAUGAGGGGGGAAGAGAUGGGCUACAUUGAUUAAAUUAAUCAAAACGGAAAGCAAAAUGAAACCACGUUUUGAAGGAGGAUUUAGAAGUAAGCCAAAAACAGAAUGUUUUACUGAAUGCGGCCCUUAAGCGCGUACAUACCGCCCGUCACCUUCCCCAAAAAAUAUUCAAUUUAAUAAAUAAUUCACUACAUUAAUUUUACGGGGACGGAAGUCGUAACAUGGUAAGUGUACCGGAAGGUGCACUUGGUUA